GAUGAACGCUAGCGGCGUGCUUAACACAUGCAAGUCGAACGGAAAGGCCAGUGCUUGCACUGGUACUCGAGUGGCGAACGGGUGAGUAACACGUGGGUGAUCUGCCCUGCACUUCGGGAUAAGCCUGGGAAACUGGGUCUAAUACCGGAUAGGACAAUGGUUUGGAUGCCGUUGUGGAAAGUUUUUUCGGUGUGGGAUGAGCUCGCGGCCUAUCAGCUUGUUGGUGGGGUAAUGGCCUACCAAGGCGUCGACGGGUAGCCGGCCUGAGAGGGUGUACGGCCACAUUGGGACUGAGAUACGGCCCAGACUCCUACGGGAGGCAGCAGUGGGGAAUAUUGCACAAUGGGCGCAAGCCUGAUGCAGCGACGCCGCGUGGGGGAUGACGGCUUUCGGGUUGUAAACUCCUUUCGCUAGGGACGAAGCGUAUUUGUGACGGUACCUGGAGAAGAAGCACCGGCUAACUACGUG
Molecule: ribosomal RNA, 468 nt
Filed under: uncultured bacterium
Lineage: Bacteria
Description: partial 16S ribosomal RNA
Rfam family: Bacterial small subunit ribosomal RNA
Source: RNAcentral